CAGCCGCCGCGGUAAUACGGAGGGUGCAAGCGUUAAUCGGAAUUACUGGGCGUAAAGCGUGCGUAGGCGGCUUUUUAAGUCGGAUGUGAAAUCCCUGAGCUUAACUUAGGAAUUGCAUUCGAUACUGGGAAGCUAGAGUAUGGGAGAGGAUGGUAGAAUUCCAGGUGUAGCGGUGAAAUGCGUAGAGAUCUGGAGGAAUACCGAUGGCGAAGGCAGCCAUCUGGCCUAAUACUGACGCUGAGGUACGAAAGCAUGGGGAGCAAACAGGAUUAGAUACCCGCGUAGUCCCUGUCUCUUAUAC
RNAcentral lists this ribosomal RNA (301 nucleotides) under uncultured bacterium. RNAcentral describes it as "partial 16S ribosomal RNA". It matches the Rfam family "Bacterial small subunit ribosomal RNA", at positions 509 to 807 of the family's 1533-position model. The record is from RNAcentral.